GGCACUGUCUCAACAACAGACUCGGUGAAAUUGUAAUUCCGGUGAAGAUGCCGGAUACCUGCGACAGGACGGAAAGACCCCAUGGAGCUUUACUGUAGCUUGACAUGGGGUCUUGGUACUACAUGUACAGGAUAGGUGGGAGGCUUUGAAACCAGGACGCCAGUUUUGGCGGAGCCAUCCUUGGGAUACCACCCUUGUAGUACUGGGACUCUA
RNAcentral lists this ribosomal RNA (213 nucleotides) under Clostridioides difficile. RNAcentral's name for it is "partial 23S ribosomal RNA". It matches the Rfam family "Bacterial large subunit ribosomal RNA", at positions 2012 to 2224 of the family's 2925-position model. Lineage: Bacteria; Bacillati; Bacillota; Clostridia; Peptostreptococcales; Peptostreptococcaceae. The record is from RNAcentral.